Long non-coding RNA from Talpa occidentalis (Iberian mole), 644 nucleotides. RefSeq lists it as uncharacterized. The transcript is spliced from 5 exons. The record is from RefSeq and is a predicted model, not a curated record. NCBI's taxonomy places the organism in Eukaryota, Metazoa, Chordata, Mammalia, Eulipotyphla, Talpidae.
CAAUUGCCCCCCAUAUCCUCAACUAUCUGCCACUCAACCAUGAAAAAAAAGAAAGUGACUGAGGAGAAGAUCUUGCUCAAUAGUUGGCUUGAGCAAGCUGUCCAGCUAGUGGUGAAGAAGAAUCCACGCUGAAGUCCUGUCCUGCUGGGUGCUGAUGACUGUCCUACAAACGUUCCUGCCUAAGUAGCUUUAAAUACCAUCAAUAGACUGAUAAAUUUCAACUUUCUAUAUAACCUCAGUGAGCCUGACUCGACAAUUUGAAAGCCUUAAAUAGCAGAACUGAGACAACCCACAGGAAGAAAUUCUGCCUAUGGAAAGCAGCUUCAACUUCAACACGAGAGUUAUGACAAAGGAAAAGAUUACAUUUAACUGGAAGAUGCUGAGCAGAGGUUACUAGGAGGCUACAGCUUUACUCAAGUGAAGGAAGAACAGUUCGUUUAAAUAGUCUUAAUUAAAAGAAGAACAACACUAUGAUUCCUGAUGGGCUAGAAUUCAAUCAAGCUGUGAUAAUCAGCAAGGUAAAAAGAAGCAAGGACAUACAGAGGCAAAACUUCAUGAUCAACCUGAAGAAUUGUUUUUCAUCCACCUACAAAACAUGUAUUUCUUCAGAACAGGAGGUACUGGCAUUAGAGAGAUUUAGAGAU